GCACCCCAGUAUCUGUACUUGCACAUUCAUCUUCUGCACAUCUAUCACUCCAGUGUUUAAUUGCUAAAUUGCUAAAUUGCCUCACCUCCCUUAUCUUACCUCAUUUGCACACACUGUAUAUAGACUUUUUUCUAUUGUGUUAUUGACUGUAUGUUUGUUUAUUCCAUGUGUAACUCUGUGUUGUUGUUUGUGUCGCACUGCUUUGCUUUAUCUUGGCCAGGUCGCAGUUGUAAAUGAGAACUUGUCCUCAACUAGCCUACCUAGUUAAAUAAAGGGGAAAUAAAAUAAAAAGAGGGGAGUGGAGACCCGGCAAUAGCAUUUCUGUCUGAUGUAUUAUACGGAACAAAAAUAUAAAUGCAACAUGCAACAAUUUUAAAGAUUUUACUGAGUUACAGUUCAUAGAAGGAAAUUAAUCAAUUGAAAUUAGGCCCUAAUAUAUCGAUUUCACAUGACUGCACAGGGGCACAGCCAUGGGUGAGCCUUGGAGGGCAUAGGCCCACCCACUUGGCAGCAAAGCCAACCCACUGGGGAGCCAGGCCCAGCCAAUCAGAAUGAGUUUUCCCCACAAAGGGCUUUAUUACAGACAGAAAACUCCUCAGCACCUCUUCCCUAAAAUGACAUUGUAGGCAGCUUAUGGUAGAGAAAUGAACGUUCAAUUAUCUGCAACAGCUCUGGUGGACAUUCCUGCAGUCGGUGUGCCAAUUGCACGCUCCCUCAAAACUUGAGACAUAUGUGGCAUUGUGUUGUGUGACAAACUGCACAUUUUAGAGUGGCCACAUUUUUCUAUUGUCUCCAGCACAAGGUUCACCUGUGUAAUGAUCAUGUUGUUUUAUCAGCUUCUUGAUAGGCCACACCUGUUAGGUGGAUUGAUUUUCUUGGCUAAGGAGAAGUGCUCACUAACAGGGAUGUAAACAAAUUUGUACACGUUGCUGACAGGUGUAUAAAAUUGAGCACACAGCCAUGCAAUCUCCAUAGACAAACAUUGUCAGUAGAAUGGCCGUACUGAAGAGAUCAAUGACUUUCAACGUGGCACCGUCAUAGCAUGCCACCUUUCCAACAAGUCAGUUCGGCAAAUUUCUGCUCUGCUAGUGCUGCCCCUGUGAUUGUUAUUGUGAAGUGGAAACGUCUAGGAGCAACAACGGCUAAGCCGCAAAGUGGUAGGCCACACAAGCUCACAGACUAAGACUGCCGAGUGCUGAAGCACAAUAACUGUUUGUUGCAAGCAUCAUGAAAUGGGUUUCCAUGGCUGAGCAGCCUCACUCAAGCCUAAGAUCACCAAUGCCAAGCGUCGGCUGGAGUGAAGUAAAGCUCGCCGCCAUUGGACUCUGAAGCAGUGGAAACAUGUUCUCUGAAGUGAUAAAUCACGCUUCACCUGGCAGUCUGACAGACAAAUCUAAGUUUGGUGGAUGCCAGGAGAACACUACCUGCCCGAAUGCCUAAUGCCUACUGUAAAGUAUAGUGGAGGAGGAAUAAUAAUCUGGGGCUGUUUUUCAUGGUUCGGGCUAGGUCCCUUAGUUCCAGUGAAGGUAAAUCUUAACGCUACAGCAUACAAUGACAUUCUCGACGAUUCUGUGCUUCCAACUUUGUUGCAACAGUUUGGGGAAGGCCAUUUAAUGUUUCAGUAUGACAAUGCCCUUGUGCACAAAGUCAGGUCCAUACAGAAAUGGUUUGUCGAGAUCAGUGUGAAAGAACUUGACUGACCUGCACAAAGCCCUGACCUCAACCCCAUCGAAACAUUUGGGAUGAAUUUGAACGCCGACUGUGAGCCAGGCCUAAUCGCCCAACAUCAGUGCCCGAACUCACGAAUGCUGUUGUGGCUGAAUGGAAGCAAGGCUCCACUGCAACGUUCAAACACCUAGUGGAAAUCCUUCCCAGAAGAGUGGAUGCUGUUAUAGCAGCAAAGUAGGGACCAACUCUAUAUUAAUGCCCAUCAUUUAAGAAUUAGAUAUUCGACAAGCAGGUGUCCACAUACUUUUGGCUAUGUAGUGUACAUAUAGCCACGUACUGUACCUGUACAAACCCAUACAAACACAUCUCCAGCUCUAGACAGUGCAUCUUCAGCUCUGGAUGGCUCCAUUGAUAACACAUUCAUGUGGUGUAAGAGAGGAGGGUUAAGUAUUGCCCUUUUAGUUUGAAUGAUCUGUACUGUAUCAUCUCUAUCCUCGUCUAGCAGUGAUAUACUGAGAUUGAGAUUACUGAGAUUUUUCCAAGGAUAUGCUGUCAAUGUAGCUUUCCAAUAAAAAAUAUAUAUUACACAGAUGGUAACCUAGGUUACAAAACUUAGGGAAAACAGUAUCUAAAACCAAUACGUUAAUAAUAUUGAAUUUACUGUACACAUUCACGAGUGACAGUCACUUAUUUAAGGGGUUUUCAAACAUUUCUUUCCAAGGGAUAGUUAAAGGGAUAGUUAGAGAUUUUGGCAAUGACGCCCUUUAUUUACUUCCCCAGAGUCGGAUGAACAGGAACAGCUAAUGUAUUUUUUACUUUUUCUUUUUUGGGGGGCGGACCCCCUGCAGUACCUUCACGGACAGUACUCUGCGGAUCCUACUGACUGGAAGUCUACAGGAACAGUUAGCAUGCUAGCUGUUCAUCUGAAUCGGUAGAAUUAGAUAAAGGGCUUCAUUGCCAAAAUCUCAAACUAUCCCUUUAAUAUGGAGGAAAUUACCAUCAUUGGAGCUAAUUACAAGUUUUUUCCUGUAUAGAAAAUUCUUAGGCGGGCCAUCUAAUUGGUCAUUUUUGGAAUGGAAAAACAGUUUCAGUGUCAACAUAAAUGACCAAAACAAGAUAGAAAGCAUGCAGAAAAGAUAUUGAACAAUAUACAGUAUAUAUAUUUUAUAUAUUUUUAUAAUACCGUCUUUGAGAACUAACUCAAAUAAUACUAGGAGCCAGUUUGAAUCCCCCUUGCUUAGUUAACUCAAUAUGGCUGGCUUCAUAAGGAAACUAUUAGAAGACACUUUUGAGAAAACCAAUCAAGGUAUCAUUGGCUGAGGCAUAUAUGACCUGGCAGGCAUGCUUAUUGCUAUUCUUAACAUGGGCUCUCUUUAAAUGCUCAUUAAAUAUCCUUUUUUAAUUAGGGUAGAGCGAGGAUGGGAGGCUCCUGGUGCAGUAGGCAUCAUCACUGAGAUGUCUGUUUGCCUUUUCAGUUUCCUGCUGGGACACUACUUUAAAGACAUGUAAAAUGGCAGAACUGUAACGAGAUUGGAGGAGAUUCUGGACAUGAUAUAAUUGUCGAGACAGAGUAUCCGAGGCGCACAGAGCUAUCAAAAAAAUAUGGAGGAAAAUGCACUUAAAAGGUGUUGAACAGCAUGGCACUUUUCAAAUGCCAAAUGCAUUAUUUAACAGCUUUGACAGCUGAGGUAUCUUUAGGAAAGGAAUAUAGUCAUGAUGUUUGGUGCAUCUGAAGUGGAGUCAUAUGAUGAAAACACUGACUUCCUAGCAAUAGAAGGAUUGUGUGUUCAAGGCCAGUCUCUCCUCUCGGUUGUUAAUUUAUUUACAGCUCUUGUCUGAAUCCCGGCUCCUCUGCCUCCACAACAUACCCCCGGAAGUUCACCUCUCUCUCCCUCCCUCCCUCUCUCUCUCUUCUUUGAAUAUUUUUUUGACUCGAUUGUGCCUUAAGUGUGAAAACCUGAAGUGCUAAGAAGAGCCAAAUAACCGCUAAUAGUAGAAGGUCUCAGAGAGCCACAAAACAAUUUGCCCUCUCUGUCGGUGUGUCAGCGCUGCAAGCUAAGUCUCGUCUGCCAGUGUCAGAAGGUCUGGGAGAGCUGGCGUAGCAAUGAGGAUGUUUUUCCCGCUCCACAUUCCCAGGAAAAACGCUCCGCUGUGCUCUACUCACGGCCCGCCAGUCUAUUUCUGUAAACCCUGAUUGGCUGGCUGGGAGGGAUCGGUGUCGGCAGGCUGGUUGUGGCACAUGGCAUUCCCUAUCAUCUGUUGCCCGUGUGUUGAGCUGGCUGGAAAUCAGGUCGACCCCCUUUGCAGCUCUGUUUGGUAAUGACUCCCCAACCCUAGAGACAUUUCAACAAUUUCGAAGAUACUCCUUGAGUUGGCACAUCCUGCACUGGCAGCCAGGAAAGGCCCCAAAAUGGAUGUCAAACAUCCAAAGACCUUGUGGUAUUUCCAAAAGGCCCAGGGUUUUUGAUGACUACGAACCAGGCCUGGUUCAAAGCCAACCACACUAUUCACACUCCAAAAAAAGGGGCAACAGAGGGCCGCUGCCCUCGAAAUUACCCUGGAGCAGCCACAAUUACAACCUUUAGAGCGAGGCAGAGUUUUAAAAAGAGCAAAGAGGGGAGGAGAGUUCGUUUUUAAAAAGAGGUCAGAUGAAUGUGAAUUAGGGAUUUGACUGGUUUUGUGAAGGCUUUCAUCUUCACGGCUAUUUUAAAAGCAUGUCAUUAAACACAGAGGGAAGAGUAUGCCAUUUGAAAAAAACAUGCUUAAGCUCUGUGUUGUGAUGGCUGUUUGUUUACUUUUUUAUUUCAUGAAAGCCUGAGAUUACCAUGGCCUAAGCAUCUUAAGAACAUCAUGGAUGGAAUGCACCCUCCGUAUGAAGAUAUGACCUAGAAACAUGGAAUCGUUGCAUUCAAGGCGUGAACACAGCAACUUCCCGCAUACAUAAAACAAUGUUUCCUAACGGUGUACCCCAUUAAUUAGUUGGGAGUUAAUUGCUUUACAGAUGAAGCAUUAAUAUCUCAGCUUGAGCUGGCAUUUUUUAAAUCUUCUGGACCUUUUAUGUACUUAUAUACUAUUAACUUAGCUAAUAUCUUACCUGCAAUGCUGUAUAUCAUAACAGACCACAAUCACUGAGGCUCACUGAGGCCCUUUUCUCUCUGGCCAUAAAGGGAACCGUUUUAAACCGGUUCUUACCGGGGCUGACUGUGCGAGAUACAGGGCUGUUUAUGUCCAAACAAACCAAAUGUAACAGUGUCCGUCCCUCUAAAUAGAUUACAGCUGUGGUGAACCAUACAUGUUUGGGUUGUCAAAGGCACUCAGGGAUACUGCUAUCCUAUAGCUAAAAAGGAUCGAACCAACUGCAGCUUUCAGACAGAGAAUUCAAGCAUUUUGCUGUUUUUUAGAUGUACAGAUGUAGGAUCUUAAUUUGAUCCAGUUUGCUACAGCAGUAUAAUUAUCCUUCAGCAACAGAAAAUGUGAGUUAUGUGGAUUAUAAUUAAUGGACAUAUUUGUAAGGGUUGAUACGUUUUUUUUUGUAAGGGAAAAUCGAGUCUGAAAUUUCAAAGUGGAAAUUACAAACUUUAGAAGCAUUUUUGAACCUCAAAUACACUACAAGUUUUACAUUUCCAACAAAAAAUGUUUUAGGUUAUUAAGGAUUGGCCAGAACUACAUAUAAUGUUUGAAUAACAAAUCACUUAAGACAUAAUAUAUGACUAAUAAGACAAAAUAUAGGCCUUAUAAGCUACUUAUAUACAGUUGAAGUUGGACGUUUACAUACACCUUAGCCAAAUACAUUUAAACUCAGUUUUUCACAAUUCCUGACAUUUAAUCCUAGUAAAAAUGCCCUGUCUUAGGUCAGUUAGGAUCACCACUUUAUUUUAAGAAUGUGAAAUGUCAGAAUAAUAGUAGAGAGAAUGAUUUAUUUCAGCUUUUAUUUCUUUCAUCACAUUCCCAGUGGGUCAGACGUUUACAUACUGUACACUCAAUUAGUAUUUGGUAGCAUUGCCUUUAAAUUGUUUAACUUGGGUCAAACGUUUUGUGUGUCCUUCCACAAGCUUCCCACAAUAAGUUGGGUGAAUUUUUGCCCAUUCCUCCUGACAGAGCUGGUGUAACUGAGUUAGGUUUAUAGGCCUCCUUGCUCGCACACACAUUUUUAGUUCUGCCCACAAAUUUUCUAUAGGAUUGAGAUCAGGGCUUUGUGAUUGCCACUCCAAUACCUUGACUUUGUUGUCCUUAAGCCAUUUUGCCACAACUUCGGCUUGCAAGCCUCCCCCAUUUUCCUCCAAAAAUAGCGAUGGUCAUUAUGGUCAAACAGUUCUAUUUUUGUUUCAUCAGACCAGAGGACAUUUCUCCAAAAUGUAUGAUCUUUGUCCCUAUGUGCAGUUGCAAACCAUAGUCUGGCUUUUUUAUGGCGGUUUUGGAGCAGUGGCUUCUCCCUUGCUGAGCGGCCUAUCAGGUUAUGUCGAUAUAGGACUCGUUUUACUGUGGAUAUAGAUACUUUUGUACCUGUUUCCUCCAGCAUCUUCACAAGGUCCUUUGCUGUUGUUCUGGGAUUGAUUCGCACUUUUCGCACAAAAGUACGUUCAUCUCUAGGAGACAGAACGCGUCUCCUUUCUGAGCGGUGUGACGGCUGCAUGGUCCCAUGGUGUUUAUACUUGCGUACUAUUGUUUGUACUGAUGAACGUGGCACCUUCAGGCGUUUGGAAAUUUCUCCCAAGGAUGAACCAGACUUGUGGAAGUCUACAUUUUUCUUCUGACGUCUUGAUUGAUUUCUCAGAGCAAAGAGGCACUGAGAUUGAAGGUAGGCCUUGAAAUACAUCCCCAGGUACACCUCCAAUUGACUCAAAUUAUGUCCAUUAGCCUCUCAGAAGCUUCUAAAGCCAUGACAUAAUUUUCUGGAAUUUUCCAAGCUGUUUAAAGACACAGUCAACUUAGUGUAUGUAAACAUCUGACACUGGAAUUGUGAUACAGUGAAUUAUAAGUGAAAUAAUCUGUCUGUAAACAAUUGUUGGAAAAAUUACUUGUGUCAUGCAACAAGAAAUUUGUGGAGUGUUUGAAAAACGAGUUUUAAUGACUCCAACCUAAGUGUAUGUAAACUUCCAACUUCAACUGUACAUACUUAUAAACUACAAAUUAGUGGCUAAUACAGUAUGUGUACCUUAAAAUUAAGUGUUACCAAUUGGGUAUUGAAUGUUAUCGAUGGACGCAGCAUUAGGCUGCGAUGGACACAGCUUUAGGCUGCGAUGGACACAGAACCUAGGAUACACAGCCUGCUUCUGCUCAACAUUCGAACUCGAGAAGAAAUCAGGGGGCUGCUGCAGUUCGAGAACGAUAUGUGCUUAUCUCCUCGUCAGUGAAGUCAUUCCACAAAGAGUCAUUCACAAUCUAGUGCGGUUACGAUAGCACCUUGUUUUCUAAGAGUGUAGACAUUGUUUCAAAGGUAGCAAUAAAUAAUCUUAUUUUUUGUAUGCCUAGCAGUCACAAAUGUACAUUGUUUGAAGUACACUUUUAUAAGUCUCUUAGUCACAUCUCUCCAUCAAUAAGCCCCCUAUGGCGAGAAUCAUGACUCUUUCAAGUUUUGAGGGCUCUGGGCAUUUCUGAAUCAAAUGAAAAUGUGUUAUUUUGACUGAACGAGUUGAAAAGAUCAGAGUCAGUAAAAAAAAACGGAACUUCCCAUCACUACAGUGUUGCCUCUUCGCCCUAUAACAUAGUAGGGGGAACUUUAUGGGGUCAAUUUAAUAUGACAUCAUUCUAAAUGGCCACCAUAAAUCAAGGAUUCCUGGUUACUAAAUGGGUGGGACCCUUUAUGCAAAUGAGUCCGUAUAAACCUUUUCUAGAAAAGAUGCUUCAUCUGUAGAUGCUAUUAUACAUUUAUUGGUCUUUAUGAAUUCACAAACUAGUAUGUCUGGGCUCUACUGUAAGGCUUCAGUGUGCUUGUAGGAAUUCAGCCUUUCAGUAAAAACUGAUAAAGAAAACAUGUUCAGAGUGGCCCAGUGGUCUAAGGCACUGCAUCUCAGUGCAAGCAGGCAUCAUUAUAGUACCUGGUUAGAGUCCAGGCUGUAUCACAACUGGCCGUGAUUGGGAGUCCGAUAGGGCGGCGCGCAAUUGGCCCAGCGUCGUUGGGGUUUGGCCAGAGUAGGCCGACAAUCAAUCAAUCAAAUUUAUUUAUAAAGCCCUUACAUCAGCUGAUGUCACAAAGUGCUGAAUAGAAACCCAGCCUAAAACCCCAAACGGCAAGCAAUGCAGGUGUAGAAGCACGAUGGCUAGGAAAAAAUCCCUAGAAAAGCUGGAACCUAGGAAGAAACCUAGAGAGGAAGCAGGCUAUGAGGGGUGGCCAGUCCUCUUCUGGCUGUGCCAGAUUCUUGAAAAUAAGAAUUUGUUCUUAACUAGUUAAAUAAAGGUUAAAUAACAAUAACAAAAAAAAUUAAAGGGCUAUUGGCUCAUUGAAAAUGAGGAGGUCUAUGGGCCAAUUCACCUCUAAUGAAUUGUCCUCCACUGUAAACAUGGAUGGUGGAAAUUGUAGUAGAGCACAGGUCAGGAUGACUAUCUAUUCUGAUGUCUGUUGACAGAGUGAAACAAAGAGAGAGUGAGAGAGAGAGAGAGAGAGAGAGAGAGAGAGAGAGAGAGAGAGAGUUGAGCUUCUUUAGCUGUCAAGACAUUGCAGAUCCAACCGCUCAGAGGGGUUCCUCUGCUCUGAGUGUGGUUCAGCCAGGCAGGUUUAAUUGUAUUGAGGCUAAUAUCAGUCUAAUGGAAAGCAGCUGCAGAGAGGGCUGACUAACAUAGAGAUGGUUUACAUUAAGUACUUGGUCACAGGGACGCCUUGUCUUCUAACACUAACAUGCAUGUCUGUGUCUCGGACUGCCAGGGGUAAGCAGCUCAGUCAAUAUACUUCUACAUCACAUAGAGAGAAAACAGUUUGCAGGACACAAAAGAGGACUGAACGCCAAGGAAGCUCCAACUGCUUUCCAGUGCCUCCCUCCCCCCCUUCUCACAGUGAACUGUGUAUGGGAUCCUCAAUAAGCAUUUCAUCUUUUUUGCUUUCUUGUUCUCUCUCACUCUUACUGUACAAUUCAUCUGAGCCAUUUGGUGUUGUGUACACUGUGAAGUGGUAGAACAUUUGAGCUCUCAACAAAUAUAUGGGCUCCUGUGGAAUUAACUGAGUGUUGAUCCACAAGCACAGUAUUGGAUCGAAAGCCUCCUCUUUUGAACAGCCUGGUAACAGCCUGAAGGUCUUACGUCAAUGCUUUCUCCACAUUUGCUGCUUGAGUUACCAUGAAAAAAAGACAGCAAAGGAACGAAAACAGAGCAGACUUACGGCACUGAGGUAAGCAAGCCAAUCUUCCUCUUGAAGAAGUGUAAGUAUUGCAGAGGCUGGCAGGGGCUAAGGUGAUUGCCGAAGCCAUAUGGCUCAGCCAGGCGCCAGGCAGAACAGUGGAGAUCAAUGUGUUCAGGUAGCCUGUCAGCUGCCAUUGUGUGUCUGUGCCUCAGAGAGAGAGAGAGAGUAGUGGUAGUAGACAGGCCCCAUCUAUCCCAUCCAACCCCCCUGCAUCUAAUCAGAUCCCUGCUCGAGUGUCGCAGAAAGUAUCCCAUGCUGGAAUGCUUAUGUGUUUAUUGCUACUGCUUUGAUUCAUUAAGGCACUACUCUCUCAUUCUCCUCCCACCCCCCCACACUCUUAACACCAUGACUGGGCUGUAGACCAUGUGAGAGCUGGGUAAUCGAGGGAGCCAGGAUGCUUUUGAGAAGAUUCCCCAGGUGCCUAAGUGUCAUUGUUUGUGGAAUUACCCUUGCAGUUGUCCUUUUGAAAAUGGGGGUGAGCCCAUGCCAGCUUUCACUGCAGACAGUAAUCAGGCAGCUUUGAUGUGCACCCCUGGUUUUACCCUCUCCUAAGUUUUUUCCUCCUGUCUAGACAUUGUUGUGUGCCAGACAAUCACCAUUGACGAGUCCUUUACAGCACAGUUGUACUAUGAGGAGCGUCAACAAACACAUUUUAUUAGGACCAUUUAUUGAAUUGCAGCUGCUAUUCAUCUGUCCAAAAAAUAAAUAAAUAUGUUAUCGGCUCUACUGAAUCAAAACCCCGAUUGUGGAGGGUUAUUUUGUGAAGAGGAUAUGUUUUCAAUACCACCACUUCAAUAAACAUAUUGAAGAUGUCUCAGACUGCCUUUGGUGUUAGACAGUAAAGUACAGCAAAUGAAAACAACACAAUUGUGUUAUAUUUCAGUUGUAUUUGAAAUACAUAUUAGUCCAUCUGUUUGAGUAUUAAGGUGAUUGACAGUUACUGUGGCUUUAACUGUUUUAAUGCUAAUGAGCUCGACCAUUGGGACAUUACAUUAUUAUGCCAAGAAAUGCAAUACCCAUUAAAAAAGUAGUCUCGCCGGAUUACUUUAAUUCAGGGGAAUAGAUGUAUUGAUUUGCUGUCAUAACUAGGCCAACUGUAAGACAUUUCAGCCCAUUACACAUAAUGGCCCAUAGAUUAAGUUAAUCAAAUGAAUUGUAAGGACUGCACCGGAUUUGGAGCAGCUAUGAGAGCAGGUGGCAUAACGUUGUGCCAAGUGUCCAAAAGGCAGAAAUAAAGUAUCAAAAUUGAAAUCGUUGUGCCGAAAUCUAAAAACGUUGUUUGAACGGCUUGAACUGUCUGUGAAGAGAUAAAGUGAUCUCUCAAGACAUAUUUUGGAACGGCUGCAUCUUUCACCUGUGAAGAAAUUGUUUCUAUGUAAAUCGAAUUCUCUCUUAGCUAACAGGAGAAGAAAUCUAAAUUGCCAAGUGUUUGCAGUUGAGGUUUGGAGCGACAGUCAACUAUCCACUCGUGGUUGUGCUCACAGCUCAGACAAUGUGCAGUCAGGUUAAAUCUAAACCCUGUAGUUCUGUAGAUGUCGCGACUUACUAUCUGGAGCCACAGAACCAGACAAUGCUUUCAGUGACUAGAUUACUGGCAGUUGUGGUCUGCUGAUAGUCAAGGUAACCUGAGCCAAACACAGAUUGCAUGGAAUUGAGGCUUCUGAGAUCUUGGGAGAGGUCAUUAGCAUAUAUCGGAUGUAACCUUUGUUUCUAACCUUGAACACUUACAUGAUAGAUGGAGUAAACCAGAGAAGAGGGAUGAGCAUGUCAAAUGCGUGCAAAGCAAGAAGAGCAUAUCUACACUUGGUAGGUGUUGGUUGUCAUGGCAGUAUCUUCGGACAGGGAAUUGCCAGGGACCUCACGAAAUGAUAUUAACACGAUACUUAGGUGCCGAUACAUUUUUACAUUUUAGUCAUUUAGCAGACGCUCUUAUCCAGAGCGACUUACAGUAGAGUGCAUACAUUUUAUUACAUUUUACGUAUUGAGACAAGGAUAUCCCUACCGGCCAAACCCUCCCUAACCCGGACGACACUAUGCCAAUUGUGCGUCGCCCCACGGACCUCCCGGUUGCGGCCGGCUGCGACAGAGCCUGGGCGCGAACCCAGCCCAGCCUGGGCGCGAACCCAGAGACUCUGGUGGCGCAGCUAGCACUGCGAUGCAGUGCCCUAGACCACUGCGCCACCCGUAUUGCGAUUAUCACAAUUCUAUAUGUAUUGCGAUUCAAUACUGUGAUUUUAUUGCGAUUGCAUGGUCCUAACAUAUUUCUCACCAUAUGUCUGCUGCAGAGGGACAAGAGAGAGCCAUUAGAAAAUGAGUAUUAAUCAGUCAUGAAAAUAAAAGUGAUGAUAACAAUUUGGUUUGUUUUGGUGCAGGUACAGCCAACUACAGAAAACAUUAUUUUGCGAUAUUGUCAAAACAAUACAAUGUAUCGUAAAAAUAAUAUCCCGAAAUGUAACUGUAGUGAUUUUUCCCCCCGCAUCACUACAGUAUCAUGGCUAAAACACAACAACAGUUCAUGAGGAGGUAAGGAGAGGUAUUCACCAAAACGGUCAGCUUUUCGAAUCUAGUAUGUGUGCAUACUGAACAGCUUUAUAGACUCAGCUCUCAUUGGAGGAUCUCGCCAGUAAUCUACUGGUCAGGGUGAAAAUAGUGUCACAUGCUGUCAACUGGGUCAUAUUCUAUUUCCAUGGCAGGGUAUGAUAAUCUUCACAUACUGAGAAAUGAGCAUGUCCUAGACCAUUGUUUCCCGACCCUGAUCCGCGAGUACCCCUAAAAGUACAAGUUUUCAUUGUAGCCCUGGACAAGCACACCUGAUUCAACUUGUCAACUAAUCAUCAAGCCCUCAAUGAGUUGAAUGAGGUGUGUUUGUCCAGGACUACAACAGAAAUGUGUACUAUCGAGGACCAGGGUUGGGAAACACUGUCCUAGACAUGUACUUGAGAUUCAUGGUCUGUCGCUGAAACAUUUCUAGGUCAAACAUCCAACUAGGCUUUACAUGAUUAUGUUCAUUGAUCCCAUCUAAUGAAUGAUCAUGAAACCAUCUUUGCGAUCGUGGCACUGCUAUUUGUGUGAAAGGUGAGAAGACAUUCACUGAGAGGCCUCCUUAGAAUGCAGCAAAUAAGUCUUCCCUUAAUUUAUGUUUCUACACUGCUCUGUCCCAUUUUAAUGGGCCCAAUUCAUCUCUUUGAUCCUUGAAAGGCAAUCUACAAAGACCUAUUAGCACUCCCCUAAAUCUGCUUAUUCAAGGGGAACAUCCUCACACACAGAAAAGCCCUGUUGACUGUUUCAGUACCAUUCAUUUGUAAGUAGCAAAUGUUUUCUUUCUCUCUUUUUUUGCUGCCAAUUUAUUUAUUUAUUUUCCCAUCGGUAGUUGACAUACGAGUCUGUCUAAUUGGCAGGGGGGUAGGGAGAAGAGAAGACCCCUCAGACAGUGAGAUUGGGUUAAGAUUAAAUAAUUGUAUGCAUAAACAUUAAGCCGAAGGCUGCUCAUCGAUUGCUGGAUGUGUUUUCAUUAGCAUGAGUCACGCGUUGCCCUGAACACAUUGAGACAGGGAAUUGAACCCAGUGUGCUGAGCUAGGGUGUAAAAAGAGAGAAGAAUAACAGGUUGGUAAAGCCACCCAAAAAUUCUUCAUUAGACUUCUGGAUCUCAAUCGGUGCGUAUUAAAUGAGCUGGCUACACGGUGUAAAUGAGCUGGCUACACGGUGUACUAAGAGUUUACUUUAACUGACUCUAAACAGAGACCCGGAGGCUUAGAGAGGUGAAGGUGGCAGCCUUUUAGCUCCUCAUCACUUCUCUAGUGCUCGGGGUGGGUCAAACCCGGAGGAUUUAACAACCAACCCCUGAGAUCAUACUGUGAAGGAUUGUGCUAUAACUCAACAAGUACGAUCAGGGCCUUGUCGGCAGUAUUAUUACUGCCCCCUGCACACUCAGCAGCUUUAGAAGAGAACUACCCUCUGAAGCAAACUGAAUUUUCAGAGUUGAAGGCACCCCCAAGAACAAUAGCAAAUUCCUUUAGUCAUGAAUCACAUAUUGCUACUGAGUACACAUGGAUCAUAUUCCUAGAUUCGGUUCCACAAAUACUCCUAUUUUAAGUCUCAGCACAGUUCCCCUCCAGUGGUCAUCUGCAUGGUGUUUUUUUCCAGCUGUGGUCUGACUUGGCAGUGAAUAGAUUUCCCUCAUGUGCUCUACUAAAGACAUUCAGAUGCCUUUUCCCCCCUCUUGGCUCGGUGAACAAAGCAAAAGAAACCUUAGCUCCUCCAACCUUGAAGUUGCCCAGGAGUUCAGGAUUGAUAGUGUAUCCGAUAAACAUUUAAAACAUUGAAGUUGCCCAGGAGUUCAGGCUCGAUAGUGUAUCUGAUUAACAUUUAAAACCUUGAAGUUGCCCAGGAGUUCAGGCUCGAUAGUGUAUCCGAUAAACAUUUAAAACCUUGAAGUUGCCCAGGAGUUCAGGCUCGAUAGUGUAUCCGAUAAACAUUUAAAACCUUGAAGUUGCCCAGGAGUUCAGGCUCGAUAGUGUAUCUGAUAAACAUUUAAAACCUUGAAGUUGCCCAGGAGUUCAGGCUCGAUAGUGUAUCUGAUAAACAUUUAGAACCUUGAAGUUGCCCAGGAGUUCAGGAUUGAUAGUGUAUCUGAUAAACAUUUAAAACCUUCAAGUUGCCCAGGAGUUCAGGAUUGAUAGUGUAUCCGAUAAACAUUUAAAACCUUGAAGUUGCCCAGGAGUUUAGGCUCGAUAGUGUAUCUGAUAAACAUUUAAAACCUUCAAGUUGCCCAGGAGUUCAGGAUUGAUAGUGUAUCUGAUAAACAUUUAGAACCUUGAAGUUGCCCAGGAGUUCAGGAUUGAUAGUGUAUCUGAUAAACAUUUAGAACCUUGAAGUUGCCCAGGAGUUCAGGAUUGAUAGUGUAUCUGAUAAACAUUUAAAACCUUCAAGUUGCCCAGGAGUUCAGGAUUGAUAGUGUAUCCGAUAAACAUUUAAAACCUUGAAGUUGCCCAGGAGUUCAGGCUCGAUAGUGUAUACGAUAAACAUUUAAAUCCUUGAAGUUGCCCAGGAGUUCAGGCUCGAUAGUGUAUCUGAUAAACAUUUAAAACCUUGAAGUUGCCCAGGAGUUCAGGCUCGAUAGUGUAUCUGAUAAAUUCUUAAAGAGUUUAAUCGAGCUCCCGCACGGACAGUCUCUUUUUGUUCUGAGGAGCUAAGAAAAUGAAAUGAAAUGACAAUACUUAGCUACAGGCCUUAAUUGAUGUCUUUAUCUCUUUCCUUCCGCUCUGGCAAAAGGUAGUAAUUACAGAAUCAGUUAGAAAGAAAGUGAAAACUGUGGAGAAGUGUGCUUUUCCCGGUAUUUUUAUGGAAAUAUGCGUCCUUUCAAAUACUUGUGUAUAUCCAUCCCUUAAGCACGUCUUAGUAGUGAGAGACAAAUUGGUUUGACACUAGUAGAGACACACAUCCUCUUUGCUAAGUGACAUACUCUGCAGCUUGAUCGAUGAAGGGAAAUGGUCAAUCCAAUUAGAUUGAUUUAACAUGAGCAUUAUUGAAUUAAAAGUCUUUCAGCUUUCCCAUUGAUCCUGCCAGAGCUUAGGCCUAGUAGGCACUGUACAUAUCUAGAAGGCCACGCCCUCUUUACAGGACAAUACAUGUGGAUACGAGCCCGGGUUAAAUUGUAGUAAUGGGGGGAAAAAGCUAUACAGUUUACAUAUCUCAAUAGUUUUUGGGGACAAUAUGGAACUUGUUUCAGGAAACUAGGUGUAUGUCGCAAGCCACUACUUUACAGAAGAGGCAUUAGAAUGUUUUCUUUUUUUAUCAAAAUGCAUUUUUGGGGCAGAAUGCCUUCUGGAACACGUGUACUUUCAUGUGCCUUAAUAACAAACUUGCAUGCCAUCUGUAAAUACGAAUAAAAAAGAAUAAUCACAAGCCUAGAUUUUUUUAGCCACAGAAAAAGUUAGGAACCUUCCCGCUAGACAUGAUUGGCUGAGAUAAUGAAUGUGCUGGACAAGCCGAGAGAUGAGUUCGGAUUGAUCUGCCAUGUAGCACAUUCUGUCUAUAACAUAACCUGCUCGGUAUGUGUAGAUACUCCUUUCUACUGCAGCUUUUUUUAAAGAUAUCAUCGAGGUGUUUCUCCGGAUUACAUAUUCAAACUAAGAGCAAAAAUGGAAUCCAUGACAGAGGGAAAAAGAUCUGAUGAUUCUUAUGGCAUUGCACACGAUCAGUGUGAACCAGAGUCACUUGACACAACGGGCCAAGUAAGCUGUACAAACGAAACGGAAACAACACAGGACGUCUAAUUUAAUGAAAUGGGUUGCAGUCUGCCGUGAAGCGUUCAUCCAUGUAUACGGGUAAGAAUACAGCUACAUUUUCAGAUAUUAUACAUUUCUAAUUUAGUCAGGUAGUCGUUUUCAUUGCAAGUUAAAGCUAGCUAGCUAACAUUAGUUGGCUGGCUCACUAGCUAACAUUACGUUUAUGAUCUGUGUAUUAAUAUUAUCUCAUGAAGCCAUUUGCAUUGCUAGUUAUAGCCUAAUGUUAGCUAACUAACUUUGAACCUAGUUGGUUAGCUUUAACUAGCUAUGACAAUCGGUUUGUAUUGCUUGUACUCUAUGGGUUGGGGUUAUGGUUCAUUGUUUAGCUAGCUACAUGUCUAAACAAGACUCCACUUCGGCAGAUGAUUACAUGACUAAUCAAGUUAGUCAGGUGUGUAUGGCGAUGAUUACGGCUAUCUAUAGUAUAAUAAUGCUAAGAUAUUUGUAUCUGGAAUUUGUCUUUCAGCAUCCGUAGAACACGACAGACUCUCCUCCACCAGUCAUACAAGGAGAAUGGUCUAAUGCCUCUCAUCAAAAAGAGAUCCGGCCCAAGCAAGCGCAGGUUACACCUGAAGCAUGAGGACUUGCAGCGAGUUGUGAACUUCAACAACUUCGCAGAGGAUAAUGCAAUAAUAUUACCAGGACGUCACCCAGGACACAAACACUUUGGUGGAAAGCUGCUGCUAUCCCAUGUGACAAAAGCAGCAGUGUGGUGUCUCUACAAGGAAUCGAUGAUAACACUUGAGGUACAUGUAGUCGGGCUUUCUUCCUUCAGGAAUCUGUGGAGAGAUUGCUGGUGUGGUGAAGGACAGCACUGUGACGGGACAACAUCCCACUGUUGGUUGGACUGGAGCUUUGAUGCUCUGGAGCCUGGUGUUGUUGUCGCCAAAGGAGCAGCGACAGUCGGGACCAGGUUUCAGCUGCUGCGCAAUGCCGAUGUCCUUUCUCCCAUAAAUGGUCUGCCUGUACAAGCACCACCUGGACACAACUAGACAAAGAUAUAUUUUUGAGAAGAUUAGGGAAUUUUGCGACAAGGAGGCCAUGGACUUCAAAUCUUCUUAACCAAAUUAAAGGGCAGGACAGAAACAGGCUCUACGAAUAUACAUGCCCUUGUUCAUGCGUGGUGCGGAUGGACCAUUUCAUCACUGGGGGCCGAGUUCCCAUUCAUCCGGACUCUCUCUAGUAGCAGCACAUCACUCUCCCCCUCACUCUCCCCCUAACACACAUAACAUACGUUGCUGCUACAAUUGUUUUUUAUCACGCUGCUCAGCCACUUUACCCCUUAUUGUAUGCAUAUAACUUCAUUGUCUAUCAAAAGUAUCACUGAUAUCGUUAUUGAUAUUGUUCGUGUACAUACUGUAUAUUUUGUUCUUUCUCUUACUGGCACUUUGACACUUUUGUUUAUUUUUAUUGAUACUUUAGGUUUUUGAUAUUGCUACUUUGCAAGUAACCAUUUCACUGUAUUGUGUACACCUUCUGUACUCUUAACAAGAUGUGACUGGCAUUUAUAGCAUUUCUUUCACAGGACCCAUCAAUUUAGACAUUUGUCUGGGGUAAGCAUCAUCUAAUAUUUAUAAAAUAUUUUUAUCUGGACACUUUGUUUUUGAUAUUGUUACUUUACAAAUAUGCAUGUAACCAUUUCACUGUACCGUUUACACCUUCUGUAUGUGACAAAUAAACUUUGAUUUUGUUUGAUAUAGUGUGUGUUUACGAGACGGUAAUGGGAAGAACAACAAGACCUGCACCUAAGUCAGAUUAGGAUAUAGGCCAAGGACUAGAUGAAGUGUAUUUUUACCUGGAGUUUUUCCUUAUUGUAGGCUACUACUUUUAGUCUUGAAAUAUUUAGUUGUUUACUAUACUGUUUAGCACAUGGCCUGACAUGUGAAUCCUUAAAGAAAUGGGUGGUGCUAAGGCUUCACAGGGUGUGAACAUGCUGAAUGUGUUGUCAAAGAAGAACUCUCCAGUAGGUGUACCAAAACAUUCAAUGGCCAUUUUCUCAAAUGGGGUUACAAGUUUAUCAACUUCCAAAGCAGAAUUACUUUCCCAUUGUUCCUCAACAACAGUUUAUUAUAUACCAUUUUCUAGCUCUGAGUCUCUACUUUUAUCCAUUGUAAAAAAACAAAAGCAAAAAUAAUAAUAAAAAAUAAUAGUUCCUCUGUCUAGUGUCUGUGUUCUUUUGCCCAUCUUAAUCUUUUCUUUUUAUUGGCCAGUCUGAGAUAUGGCUUAUUCUUUGCAACUCUGCCUAGAAGGCCAGCAACCCGGAUUCGCCGCUUCACUAUUGAUGUUGAGACUGGUGUUUUGCGGGUACUAUUUAAUGAAGCUGCCAGUUGAGGACUUGUGAGGCGUCUGUUUCUCAAACUAGACACUCUAACGUACUUGUCCUCUUGCUCAGUUGUGCACCGGGGCCUCCCAUUUCUCUUUCUAUUCUGGUUAGGGACAGUUUGCGCUGUUUUGUGAAGGGAGUAGAACACAGUGUUGUACGAGAUCUUAAAUUUCUUGGCAAUUUCUCGCAUGGAAUAGCCUUCAUUUCUCAGAGCAAGAGUAGACUGACGGGUUUCAGAAGAAAGUUCUUUGUUUCUGGCCAUUUUGAGCCUGUAAUCGAGCCACAAAUGCUGAUGCUCCAGAUACACAACUAGUCUUAAGAAGGCCCGUUUUAUUGCUUCUUUAAUCUGAUCAACAGUUUCAGCUGUGCUAACAUAAUUGCCAAAGGGUUUUCUAAUGAUCAAUUAGCAUUUUAAAAUGGUAAACUUAGCUAACACAAUGUGCCAUUGGAAUACAGCAGUGAUGGUUGCUGAUAAUUGGCCUCUGUACGCCUAUGUAGAUAUUCCAUAAAAAAUCUGCCCUUUCCAGCAACAUUAGUCAUUUACAACAUUAACAAUGUCUACACUGUAUUUCUGAUCAAUUUGAUGUUAUUUUAAUGGAAAAAAAAUGUGCUUUUCUUUCAAAAACAAGGACAUUUCUAAGUGGUAGUGUAUAUGUUUUUUAUUUUUAAUAAUUUUGCUAGCAUUUCUAAGAAACUGUUUUCGCUUUGUCAUUAUGGGGUAGUGUGUAGAUUGAUGAGGAAAUUAUUUAAUUUAAUCAAUUUUAGAAUAACAUUAAUGUAACAAAAUGUGGAAAAAGUCAAGGGGUCUGAAUAAUUUCCAAAUGCACUGUAUAGUGUGCAAUGUUUGGAACAUCAAAUGGCAAUAAAAUACACAAUAUUUAAUCACAAUACUUCUAGAAUCGUGAGAAUCGCAAUACAUAUUGUAUCUGCACCUAAGUAUCGUGAUAAUAUCGUAUUAUGAAGUUCCUGGCAAUUUCCAGCACUAGUAAAUUGCAUUUGACCUGCAUGUAAUGCUUAAAUCAGAAGACACUCUCCCAGAGGGUAAAGUGACCCGGUUUUAAAAAUGUCCGAUACGGUUGCGUUGAGCACUUACAAUAAAAACAUUUUUUCAUGAGAACGAUCAGGACAUGUUAUUGCUCUAUGCUCAAGCUAAUUCAUAAAAAUAGUUCCUUGGCUGAACCCGCCACUCGUGUUACAGUUGUUCCCUCACAAAGAACCUUUUGUUCUUCGGUGCCAUUCGCCGCUGAGUUUUUGUUACUGUGUCAUCCGUGUAAGUGUCAUCGCCAAGUCAAAGCUAUUCUAUUUUCUUUCAUGUCCACAUUUGAGCUGCCUGGAGUGUUGUGUUAACACUGGCCAGUUGCCCCUUACAAACGCCCUCACCCUUACCCCCCGCAUACAGGAACCUUUCGAAACGUGUUGGGGAAUAAGGUUACAUUACUGAACUAUACCCCUAUGGAGAGCUAGAAACUCUAAAGAAAGCUGAUUUGGAUGCAUAAUUAAUGCUGAACUUAACUUGGGACAGGUUAUAGUUGUAGCAUAUUGCUUCGCUGAACAAAGUGGCUCUAAGUUUGUCCUUCAUUACCUCCCUCCUGCCAUUUAAAGCCUAUAUGGCCUGUCUUUUUGUGACGGAAGCCUGGUGUCCAGUUCUACUUCUUUGGCUUUUCCCUCCAUUUUGUGCCGCUUUUGUCUAGACAGCUGUGGGUAGCCGGGGUCUUUGUGUUCUUGCAUUGAGCUCCCAUACGUUACAAAGUGAGGGGAGAUACCCCUUAUGCUACCAGUUGCCAGAAACUCAGCUGCCACUGUAACUGAAUCAGUGGCCGUCCCAGCAAUUGCCUGAUUGGUUAGAUAAGAUUCAAAAAGCAUCUCUUUAUUUGGGAGAAAUGAUGACCGAAGUUGGGAGUGGGCUAGGCUCCCUGGCUUUAAAGUAAUUCAUAAAAAGUGGCUUUACAUAUUUCUCUGCAUUAUUAUCUUAUUGUUGUGAAGCUGACUGGAGAUGUUUAAUAUGGUUUAGUCAAGCUGAUGGGCUAUGCAUCCAUUAUGUAUGACUGCUCUAUAUAUGGUCGUAUUCACAGCCUGUUCGUUACAAGGGAAUAAUCCCCAGCCCAGCUGCAUCGACCACACGCUCCCCCUUUUAAAGAGGGUGCUUUAUGGUAGAAGGCCUCUCUUAAUUUAUGGCUCCUGGUGGGCCUCUUAAAUAGCGUAUGAACCUGAGAAGAGUAGACAGAGACGUGGGCAGUACAUUGUGUCAUCUCAUUCCCCACACAGAUUUAAAAGCCCUCCUUGGCUAUCUGGUGCAGACAGACAAUCAGUUGGAAUGUCUGUCCCACCAGCCCAGUAUGGGUCGGUCACCCAGCUCUCGUUUAGUAUCUAAUUCAUGCUGUUCCUCAACACAUGUUUUAAUAGAUCUUUACAUAUUUCGUGGCCUCAUUUGGGUCCUUUUGGUACUAUUCGCCAGUCCAGACUCCAAGGGGGAUUUAUUUGGCUUUCUUUGUGCCUGUGUUAACAAAAACAAGACCGUAAUCAAACCCCACCUUGAAGGUUUGAACUCACAGCCUGCAUUCAGUUCUUCCUGAUAAAAAAUAUCAAUAUUCUAUUUUGAUAUGAGCCAUGAUCCCUACCCGGAGAACCAUUUAUUGGAAUGAUUUCAAGCCUGCCAUAGUGUUUGUGUUUCCAUGCCAAUUGUCAUUUCUGCAUGUGGGGAGAAAAUAUGCUCACCUCGGUUCAUUUGUUUUUAAUAUCACAGAUUGUGGGCCGCUAACCUAGGCUAAUGCUGGUGAGCUAUAGAUGUUUGCCUCCCAUACAUUUUGGGCCAGCAGCAUACCACUUUGCAUACCACCCUGCAACCCUGCUGUCUUGCCUCUGACACUAAGCAGCGUUGGUCCUUGUCCGUCCCUGGAUGGGAGACCAGAUACUGCUGGAAGUGGUGUUGGAGGGCCAGUAGGAGGCACUCUUUCCUCUGGUCUAAAAUAAAAUAUCCCAGUGCCCCAGGGCAGAGAUUGGGGACAGUGCACAGGGCACUGUCCCCAAUUGGCUAAUUCCUCCCCCCUCCUCUCCCCUGUAAUUAUUCUCCAGUUUGUUGCUGUAAAUGAGAGUGUUCUUAGUCAACUUACCUGGUAAAAAAAACAAUGAUAUAUAUACAUAUGGACAUAUUUGGACAGACCUACUCAUUCCAUUUUUUUUUUUUUAUAUAUUUUCUACAUUGUAGAAUAAUAGUGAAGGCAUCAAAACUAUGAAAUAAUGCAUAUGGAAUCAUGUAGUAACCAAAAAAGUAUUAAACAAAUCAAAAUAUAUUUUAUAUUUGAGAUUCUUCAAAGUAGCCACCCUUUGCCUAUUUGGUCUGGCUAGACUGUAAACUCUCCUUCCAGACUCAUAUUAAGCAUCUCCAAUCCAAAAUUAAAUCUAGAAUUGGCUUCCUAUUUCGCAACAACGCCUCCUUCACUCACGCUGCCAAACAUACCCUCGUAAAACUGACUAUCCUACCAAUCCUCGACUUCGGCGAUGUCAUUUACAAAAUAUCCUCCAACACUCUACUCAGCAAACUGAAUGCAGUCUAUCACAGUGCCAUCCGUUUUGUCACCAAGGCCCCAUAUACUACCCACCACUGCGACCUGUAUGCUCUCGUCGGCUGGCCCUCGCUACAUAUUCGUCGCCAGACCCACUGACUCCAGAUCAUCUAUAAGUCUUCGCUAGGUAAAGCUCUGCUUUAUCUCAGCUCACUGGUCACCAUAACAACACCCACACGUAGCACGCGCUCCAGCAGGUAUAUCUCACUGGUCAUCCCCAAAGCCAACACCUCUUUUGGCCACCUUUCCUUCCAGUUCUCUGCUGCCAAUGACGGGAACGAAUUGCAAAAAUCGCUGAAUUUGAUGACUUAUAUCUCCCUCACCAACUUUAAGCAUCAGCUAUCUGAGCAGCUUACCGAUCGCUGCAGCUGUGCACAGCCCAUCUGUAAAUAGCCCAUCCAACUACCUACCUCAUCCCCAUAUUGUUUUUAUUAACUUUUUUUGCUCUUUUGCACACCAGUAUUUCUACUUGCACAUCAUCAUCUGCACAUCUAUCACUCCAGUGUUAAUUUGCUAAUUUGUAAUUACUUCGCUACUAUGGCCUAUUUAUUGCCUUGCCUCCUGACUGUACUUUUGUUUAUCCCUGUGUUGUUGUUUUUUGUCGCACUGCUUUGCUUUAUCUUGGCCAGGUCGCAGGUGUUCUCAACUUGUUCUCAACUGGCCUACCUGGUAAAAUAAAGGUGAAAUAUAUAUAUUUUUAAAUGACAGCUUUGCACACUCUUGGCAUUUUCUCAAUCAGCUUCAUGAGGUAGUCACCUGGAAUGUACUUCAAUUAACAGGUGUGCCUUGUUUAAAGUUAUUUCCUUCUUAAUGUGUUUGAACCAAUUAGUUGUGUCGUGCCAAGGUAGGGGUGGUAUACAGAAGAUAGCUCUAUUUGGCAAAAGACCAAGUCCAUAUUAUGGCAAGAACAGCUCAAAUAAGCAAAGAGAAACGACAGUUCAUCAUGAAGGCCAGUCAAUCCGGAAAAUUUCAAGAACGUUGAACGUUUCUUCAAGUGCAGUCGCUAACAGCAUCAAGCACUAUGAUGAAACUGGCACUCACAAGGACCGCCACAGGACAGGAAGACCCAGAGAUACCUCUACUGAUAAGUUCAUUAGAGUUACCAGCCUCAGAAAUUGCAGCCCAAAUAAAUGCUUCACAGAGUUCAAGUAACAGACACAUCUCAACAUCAACUGUUCAGGCCUUCAUGGUUGAAUGCUGCUACUAAACCACUACUAAAGGACACCAAUAAUAAGAAGAGACUUGCUCAGGCCAAGAAACACAGGCAAUGGACAUUAGACCAGUGGAAAUCUGUCCUGCGCUUAGUGGGACUAUCAUUUGUUUUCAACAGGACAAUGACCCAACAUAUCUCCAGGCUGUGUAAGGGCUAUUUGACAAUGAGGGAGAGUGAUGGAGUGCUGCAUUAGAUGACCUGGUCUCCACAAUCACCCGACCUCAACCCAACUGAGAUGGUUUGGGAUGAGUUGGACCGCAGAGUGAAGGAAAAGCAGCCAUUAAGUGCUCAGCAUAUGUGGGAACUCCUUCAAGACUGUUGGAAAAGAAUUCCAGGUGAAGCUGGUUGAGAGAAUGCCAAGAGUGUGUAAAGCUGUCAUCAAGGUAAAGGGUGGCCACUUUGAAGAAUCUAAAAUAUAUUUUUAUUUGUUUAACACUUUUUUGGUUACUACAUGAUUCCAUAUGUGUUAUUUCAUAGUUUUUAUGUCUUCACUAUUAUUCUACAAUGUAGAAAAUAGUAAAAAUAUAGAAAACCCUUGAAUGAAAGACAGGUUCUGAACUAAUAUUCAUACUAAAAGUUUUAGGGUCCAUACACAGAUCGGCUACAUAUUGUAGCUAGCUAAACAUCCAUAGGCAUACAGUUAUUUUUAUGCUCCACUACACAAUAAACAAAUAAAUAGUUAGCUAGCUAUGUUACUUCAGCUGCAAUGCAUGGCAAAUAUGAGCAAAAUCUAAUCAAAAUCAAAUGUAUUUAAAUAGCCCUUCUUACAUCAGCUGUAAUCUCAAAUCGCUGUACAGAAACCCAACCUCAACCCCCAAACAGCAAGCAAUGCAGGUGUAGAUGCAGGUGUAGAAGCAUGGUGGCUAGUAAAAACUCCCUAGAAAGGCCAAAACCUAGGAAGAAACCUAGAGAGGAACCAGGCUAUGAGAAAUUUGCAGGAAAUGCUUUAGCUAGCUAGAUUCUUUACAUCCACUGUUUCACAAGACUGCAGCCUGGUUUCCUGCUUUUCUCAGGAAUCCCUAAACCAUUAAACAACACGAAUUACAAAUUCUUACUCGUGUCAUAACACUAGUUAGCUAGCUGGCUAAUGUUAGCUGGUCAGCUAACUUGCUAAAUAGCGAUUUUCGUAAAUUAACUUUAUGACCUAAAAAUAUGCACAAUCGUUUGUCUCUACAUUAAAUAACAUAUUCCUCUCAAUUGUACAUUUUUAGCUUGACUCGUUAUGACAUUAUAACUACUUACAUUUGCUUCCUCCGUAAUGUUUUUUCAGACAUCUUUGCUGAAGAAAGUCACCAGGGAAGGGUGGCUCGUGUCAAAUUUGUCAUUGGAACCACUGAUUGGUUAUGAUAUGAUUGGUCAUAUAAAAACCUUGGGACCCAAAUACAUAAUGAGUGCUCUAACUCCCCCUUGCGGUGGUCUGGAGCAAUGAAGCCGUGACGCUGGGUACCUCUUAAGUCCCGCGGUGUAAGCUCGCAACUUUUAAAGGAGGAACCACUGUAGGUGUGUCCAAACUUUUGACUGGUACUGUAUAUAGUAUGCAGACAAAGUGAGCAUUUGCACUCCACAUUACCUUAAAUCAGAGCCAUAUCUGCCUGAUAUUAUUCAACCCUUUUUUAGAGAGCUAUUUUUUCCCCCCUACUUUCAGCAGUAGUACUUUAAAAUAGAUAGUAGAGUAGCAUGCUAUUUCCAUACCCAACCACAUCUAGCUAGGAUACCGAAGUGGGAAAUUACAUUGAAGCCCUGUUCUGUCACCAUCAAAUUGGCCAUCACUGAAGAAUGACAUCAAUACAAAGCAGCAUUGGUUUGCGUAUCUUUGGGCCAUUGGACAUGGUGCACAGUUUGUUAUAACACUGUCAAUGCUUGUACAAAUGCCAUUCAAACUAUACUGAACAAAAAUAUAAACGCAACAUGCAACAAUUUUUUGAGAGUUACAGUUCAUAUAAGGAAAUCAGUCAAUUCAAAUAAAUU
Salvelinus fontinalis (brook trout) is the source of this 24356-nucleotide long non-coding RNA. RefSeq lists it as uncharacterized. The transcript is spliced from 3 exons. The record is from RefSeq and is a predicted model, not a curated record. Lineage: Eukaryota; Metazoa; Chordata; Actinopteri; Salmoniformes; Salmonidae.